RNAcentral lists this ribosomal RNA (229 nucleotides) under uncultured bacterium. RNAcentral's name for it is "partial 16S ribosomal RNA". It matches the Rfam family "Bacterial small subunit ribosomal RNA", at positions 568 to 796 of the family's 1533-position model. The record is from RNAcentral.
UACGUAGGCGGAAAAUUAAGUCAGUGGUGAAAUCCUGCAGCUUAACUGUAGAACUGUCAUUGAUACUGGUUUUCUUGAAUAUAGUUGAGGUAGGCGGAAUGUGUAAUGUAGCGGUGAAAUGCUUAGAUAUUACACAGAACACCGAUUGCGAAGGCAGCUUACUAAACUAUGAUUGACGCUGAGGUACGAAAGCGUGGGGAGCGAACAGGAUUAGAUACCCUGGUAGUCC